Molecule: ribosomal RNA, 485 nt
Filed under: uncultured bacterium
Lineage: Bacteria
Description: bacterial SSU rRNA
Rfam family: Bacterial small subunit ribosomal RNA
Source: RNAcentral
GGGAAACUUGGGCUAACACCGGAUACGCCCUUCGGGGGAAAAAUUUAUUGCCGAAGGAUCGGCCCGCGUCGGAUUAGCUUGUUGGUAGGGUAAAAGCCUACCAAGGCGACGAUCCGUAGCUGGUCUGAGAGGAUGAUCAGCCACACUGGGACUGAGACACGGCCCAGACUCCUACGGGAGGCAGCAGUGGGGAAUAUUGGACAAUGGGCGCAAGCCUGAUCCAGCCAUGCCGCGUGGGUGAAGAAGGCCUUAGGGUUGUAAAUCCCUUUCAGCGGGGAAGAUAAUGACGGUACCCGCAGAAGAAGCCCCGGCUAACUCCGUGCCAGCAGCCGCGGUAAUACGGAGGGGGCUAGCGUUGUUCGGAAUUACUGGGCGUAAAGCGCGCGUAGGCGGACCUGCAAGUCGGGGGUGAAAGCCCGAGGCUCAACCUCGGAACUGCCUUCGAUACUGCGGGUCUUGAGUCCGGGAGAGGUGAGUGGAAUUCC